This 678-nucleotide ribosomal RNA is filed under the name Triticum aestivum (bread wheat). RNAcentral's name for it is "partial small subunit ribosomal RNA". Lineage: Eukaryota; Viridiplantae; Streptophyta; Magnoliopsida; Poales; Poaceae. The record is from RNAcentral.
AUGGAGUUGAAAAAUGAAGCAACUGGGCUUGGAUGGGAUGAUGCGAAGAGAACCGUUGAUUGCUCUAAAGAAUGGUGGGAUGAACAUAUCAAGAGAUGCCAAGAGAGUACAGGAAAGAAAUGCAAUCAUAUGAAGUUCAAAAAACAGGGACCAAAGCACCUUGAAGAUUUUCACAUCAUAUUUGACAAAGUACAUGUUACUGGGGCUAGUGCUUCUUGUGCUGGAGAUAUAUCUUCUGAUGAAUCAAGUGAUGAUAUUGCGGUUCCUUUCGAAAAGCCCGAUGGUAGUGCUGAAAUGAAGUUGGCAUCUUCGAAGAAACCAAAACCAAGCAAGAAGCACAAGCAACCUUCUAACGCAAAUGAGGAGAAAGAAGAGAAGAGUCCAUUCUUACGAUUGUACAAGAAGACAUGCGAGAAAAUAGAACGUGGAGUGGAGAAGAUAACUUCAAGUGUUGAAGCAUCAUCCGCUCCUCUCACAAACCAUGUUCCCGCCAUUUCAGAAGUAAUGAAGAUGGUCAAAGAAUGUGGUGUGAAGGAAAAAACUGCUCUCAUGCACACAACCCUCACUCUUAUAGUGAAGCCCGAGUUUAGGGAAAUCUUAAAUGUUCUUGAAACAAAAGAAGGGAGGUUUGAUUUUUUGGAGAGGGAGCAUGAGAAGGAGAUGUUGAAGCACGUGUAG